CGUAGGGUGCAAGCGUUAAUCGGAAUUACUGGGCGUAAAGCGUGCGCGGGCGGUUAUGUAAGACAGUUGUCGAAAUCCCCGGGCUCAACCUGGGAACUGCAUCUGUGACUGCAUAGCUAGAGUACGGUAGAGGGGAUGGAAUUCCGCGUGUAGCAGUGAAAUGCGUAGAUAUGCGGAGGAACACCGAUGGCGAAGGCAAUCCCCUGGACCUGUACUGACGCUCAUGCACGAAAGCGUGGGGAGCAAACAGGAUUAGAUACCCUGGUAGUCCACGCCCUAAACGAUGUCAACUGGUUGUUGGGUCUUCACUGACUCAGUAACGAAGCUAACGCGUAAAGUUGACCGCCUGGGGAGUACGGCCGCAAGGUUG
This 370-nucleotide ribosomal RNA is filed under the name uncultured organism. Its description in RNAcentral is "bacterial SSU rRNA". It matches the Rfam family "Bacterial small subunit ribosomal RNA", at positions 526 to 896 of the family's 1533-position model. The record is from RNAcentral.